RNAcentral lists this ribosomal RNA (440 nucleotides) under uncultured bacterium. RNAcentral describes it as "partial 16S ribosomal RNA". It matches the Rfam family "Bacterial small subunit ribosomal RNA", at positions 338 to 795 of the family's 1533-position model. The record is from RNAcentral.
CCUACGGGUGGCAGCAGUGGGGAAUAUUGCACAAUGGGGGAAACCCUGAUGCAGCAACGCCGCGUGAGUGCAGAAGUAUUUCGAUAUGUAAAGCUCUAUCAGCAGGGAAGAAGAUGACGGUACCUGCUUACUAAGCACCGGCUAAAUACGUGCCAGCAGCCGCGGUAAUAAGUAGGGGGCACGCGUUAUCCGGAUUUACUGGGUGUAAAGGGGGCGUAGACGGCAUAGCAAGUCUGAAGUGAAAGGCCAAGGCGCAAGCACGGGACUGCUUUGGAAACUGUUAAGCUAGAGUGCAGGAGAGGUAAGCGGAAUUCCUAGGGUAGCGGUGAAAGGCGUAGAGAUUAGGAAGAACACCAGUGGCGAAGGCGGCUGACUGGACAGUAACUGACGUUGAGGCUCGAAAGCGUGGGGAGCAAACAGGAUUAGAUACCCUAGUAGUC